GAAGAAGAAGAAGAAGAAGAAAGAAGCCAAAGCAAGAAUAACAACAGGGAACGAAGUUUUAUUCCAACAAGGAAAGAAUGGAGAGAGAUGUGAGAGGCAAAAUCACAGGAAAAGUGAAGAAAAGAUGCUUAGCACUGGCAACAAGAAAAGGGAAAACCAAUUAAAAAAAAAUUAUAGAACCCAAAAAGAAAAAGAAAGAGAAGAACAAGGCUGCCUCCUUUUCUUGCUUUUUUACAACCUUCU
Molecule: unclassified non-coding RNA, 243 nt
Filed under: Hevea brasiliensis (rubber tree)
Lineage: Eukaryota; Viridiplantae; Streptophyta; Magnoliopsida; Malpighiales; Euphorbiaceae
Source: RNAcentral